AGAGUUUGAUCCUGGCUCAGGAUGAACGCUAGCGGCAGGCUUAACACAUGCAAGUCGAGGGGCAGCGGGGAGGAAGCUUGCUUUCUCCGCCGGCGACCGGCGCACGGGUGAGUAACACGUAUGCAACCUGCCCCUGUCAGGGGGACAACCCGCCGAAAGGCGGGCUAAACCCGCGUACAUGCCACCGGGGCAUCCCGGAGGCAGGAAAGGCUUCGGCCGGACAGGGAUGGGCAUGCGGCGCAUUAGGCAGUAGGCGGGGUAACGGCCCACCUAACCGACGAUGCGUAGGGGUUCUGAGAGGAAGGUCCCCCACACUGGUACUGAGACACGGACCAGACUCCUACGGGAGGCAGCAGUGAGGAAUAUUGGUCAAUGGUCGGGAGACUGAACCAGCCAAGCCGCGUGAGGGAGGAAGGUACAGAGUAUCGUAAACCUCUUUUGUCAGGGAACAAAGGCGGGGACGUGUCCCCGGAUGAGUGUACCUGAAGAAAAAGCAUCGGCUAACUCCGUGCCAGCAGCCGCGGUAAUACGGAGGAUGCGAGCGUUAUCCGGAUUUAUUGGGUUUAAAGGGUGCGCAGGCGGUCUGUUAAGUCAGCGGUCAAAGCCCGGGGCUCAACCCCGGCCCGCCGUUGAAACUGGCAGUCUCGAGUUGGAGAGAAGUAUGCGGAAUGCGCGGUGUAGCGGUGAAAUGCAUAGAUAUCGCGCAGAACUCCGAUUGCGAAGGCAGCAUACCGGCGCCCAACUGACGCUGAAGCACGAAAGCGUGGGUAUCGAACAGGAUUAGAUACCCUGGUAGUCCACGCAGUAAACGAUGAAUACUAGCUGUCCGGUCAGAAUGAUGGCUGGGUGAUACAGCGAAAGCGUUAAGUAUUCCACCUGGGGAGUACGCCGGCAACGGUGAAACUCAAAGGAAUUGACGGGGGCCCGCACAAGCGGAGGAACAUGUGGUUUAAUUCGAUGAUACGCGAGGAACCUUACCCGGGCUCAAACGUAGAGUGACAGACGGUGAAAGCCGUUCUCCCUUCGGGGCAGUCUACGAGGUGCUGCAUGGUUGUCGUCAGCUCGUGCCGUGAGGUGUCGGCUUAAGUGCCAUAACGAGCGCAACCCCCAUCUACAGUUGCUAACAGGUAAAGCUGAGGACUCUGUGGAGACUGCCGGCGCAAGCUGUGAGGAAGGCGGGGAUGACGUCAAAUCAGCACGGCCCUUACGUCCGGGGCGACACACGUGUUACAAUGGCAGGUACAGCGGGAAGCCAUAUGGCGACAUAGAGCGGAACCCGAAAACCUGUCUCUGUUCGGAUUGGAGUCUGCAACUCGACUCCAUGAAGCUGGAUUCGCUAGUAAUCGCGCAUCAGCCACGGCGCGGUGAAUACGUUCCCGGGCCUUGCACACACCGCCCGUCA
RNAcentral lists this ribosomal RNA (1402 nucleotides) under uncultured bacterium. RNAcentral describes it as "16S ribosomal RNA". It matches the Rfam family "Bacterial small subunit ribosomal RNA". The record is from RNAcentral.